Molecule: small RNA, 1520 nt
Filed under: Drosophila virilis
Lineage: Eukaryota; Metazoa; Arthropoda; Insecta; Diptera; Drosophilidae
Description: GJ26442
Source: RNAcentral
CUUGAAAAAACUCAACAGCUGCAGCUUUUCGAAGUGCGAGGCGCAAAUUGGACCCGUGCAAACAAGUUAAAUACCCUGAAGCUUUUCCCAGUGGUCGGAAAAUGGAUUUUUGGGCCAGCCGUGCACUGCUUUGUUUGAUACCAAAUAACGGCAAUUGUGCAGCUCUUGUUGCACAGAAAUUGCACUAGAGGGCGCCACAGUUCGGCCACAAAAUGUUGCCGCAGCAUGUUGCCAUUGAGUAGCUGACCCCAAACAGAAUCUGCAAAGGACAACAAACCGAUGCAUAACUAACGGCAUAAACAUAAACAUAAACGUAAAUAUAAACUUAAUAAACUCGACACACAAAUCGACCUUUUGAGUAAUUAACCCCUUUUUGAAGUUAUGCGCCAUUUGUCAAGCGAGCAACAAAUUGCAUACCAAGGAGCAACACACACGCACACACACACACACACAUACCCUACGCCUGCUCCAGCCUUCUCUACGGCUUACACACACACGCACGCACACACCUUAUGCUGUUGGCUUUGUCGGCUCGGCUCUAGCGUUGGGUGUCACAGAUUAACGCCUUACUUGAAUUAUGGGCCAGCAGGAAAGCCUGGCCAGGCCGACCCCUGCGACCGGGCCAAACUACUCGACAAAUCCGAACAGAAACAAAAAGUCGACGCGUGGAAAAAUCAUGUAUAAAACAUAAGAGCGACAAACACGCACACACAUCUACUGGGUGGGAGGGGGUCUAUCGGAGCUGGCUCAAAGGCACGCAAGACUCUGGUGCAGGAGGCCAUAACACCUACCAUAUGUACGUCGCCAGAUGCCAGGCCCAGAACGGAGCCAGCGUGUGAGGCGUUUAAAAAUUGAAAACCAAUUUCGUAGCGAUUUAAAACACGAUGCCAUUCGAUUGGGUGGCGUUGGGCCUGGCACAUGUGUGUGUGUGUGCCGGCUCAUUGUGUGACUUUUCACACUUCCCUGGCCCGCCACUUGGGCUCAGUGUUUAGAUUGUGUUACCAAUAUUUAUGGCUCAGUGGGGAUACGCGCGACUUUUGGCUGGCGUGACUGCAGCUCAGGAUCGGGGCCAAGUCUAAUCGCCUGACCCCUUGGCGCAGCUUUUAGCUCUAAACUGGAUCUUAUGUGUGGAAGCGAGCGACUUUCUGUUGCACUGAGAACAGGAGGGGCACAUCGUCUCAUGAUGGAUAUGUCUAUGGCGCAACGAUGCAAUUUAUUGGCACUUCAUUUCAUAAUCAGUUUGCUGCACUCGCCUCGGGUCCAAUCAUAGCUGGAUAUUAAGUAGCUGCUUGUCCGCCGGCGGGAGUAAUUUGUCCAGCUGGGCAGCUGUGCACAAACUAUGCAUACGUACAUAUACAUAUGCAUAAUUAUGAAAGUAACGAGGCUGCAGGGUAGCUAAAGACGAUUAUGCACCUGACGCACCUGUAAGCAAAGAGCAGAUGGCUCGCAGGAUAACUGAAAAUCACCUUUGCUCAGUGCAAACGUCCAAACAUUGACCCAUUUUCUUUGUACAAACUGCG